UAACUUAGGGAUAAGGGGUGCCACCAUCAGGUGGCCGCAGAGAAUAGGCCCAAGCGACUGUUUACCAAAAACAUAGGUUUCUGCUAAGUCGCAAGACGAUGUAUAGGAGCUGACGCCUGCCCGGUGCUGGAAGGUUAAGGGGAUCUGUUAGAGCAAUCGAAGCAGUGAACUUAAGCCCCAGUAAACGGCGGCCGUAACUAUAACGGUCCUAAGGUAGCGAAAUUCCUUGUCGGGUAAGUUCCGACCCGCACGAAAGGCGUAACGAUUUGGGCACUGUCUCAACAACAGACUCGGUGAAAUUGUAAUUCCGGUGAAGAUGCCGGAUACCUGCGACAGGACGGAAAGACCCCAUGGAGCUUUACUGUAGCUUGACAUUGGGUCUUGGUACUACAUGUACAGGAUAGGUGGGAGGCUUUGAAACCAGGACGCCAGUUUUGGCGGAGCCAUCCUUGGGAUACCACCCUUGUAGUACUGGGACUCUAACCAUAGGCCAUGAAUCUGGUCUUGGGACACUGUCAGGUGGGCAG
This 527-nucleotide ribosomal RNA is filed under the name Clostridioides difficile. RNAcentral describes it as "bacterial LSU rRNA". It matches the Rfam family "Bacterial large subunit ribosomal RNA", at positions 1731 to 2268 of the family's 2925-position model. Lineage: Bacteria; Bacillati; Bacillota; Clostridia; Peptostreptococcales; Peptostreptococcaceae. The record is from RNAcentral.